GAUGAAGAACGCAGCGAAAUGCGAUAAGUAAUGUGAAUUGCAGAAUUCAGUGAAUCAUCGAGUCUUUGAACGCACAUUGCGCCCCCUGGUAUUCCGGGGGGCAUGCCUGUCCGAGCGUCAUUGCUGCCCUCAAGCACGGCUUGUGUGUUGGGCCCCCGUCCCCGGUUUCCCCCGGGGACGGGCCCGAAAGGCAGCGGCGGCACCGCGUCCGGUCCUCGAGCGUAUGGGGCUUUGUCACCCGCUCUGUAGGCCCGGCCGGCGCCAGCCGACACCCAACUUUAUUUCUAAGGUUGACCUCGGAUCAGAUAGGGAUACCCGCUGAACUUAAGCAUAUCAAUAAGCGGAGGA
Molecule: unclassified non-coding RNA, 348 nt
Filed under: soil metagenome
Description: partial contains 5.8S ribosomal RNA, internal transcribed spacer 2, and large subunit ribosomal RNA
Rfam family: 5.8S ribosomal RNA (bases 1-120)
Source: RNAcentral